GAACUUUCCUUAAGUUGGAGUCUCUUGAAUUGGAGUAAGUGUGACGUUAAACACGUUCACUUAAAUUUUAACUUUCAUGUUGUUUAAUAUGCUUCAUUAUUCUUAAUGGUUGUGUUGUUACAAUCUACAGUUGGCUUCAGGCUUCUACUGGCUUUAGUUUUGGAAGCCAGCUGCUGCAAAUCAACAACUGACUCACGGAACAGGCCUGAAAAGAAGCCUCAUGCAGAACCUAAUGAUGAGGAUCCUGAUGUUAAAAGGUCCAAAGUAGAAGAACACGCUCAGACGAGUGAUAAAGAUGAGGACUUUGUGAAUGUGGAAAAACCCUGGAGAACAUUUUUUGUCGUCUCUGCUGGAAAAACCAACGGAGCUCAUCGUGACUUUGUGAAGAAGCUUGAAGCCGUCGGUCAAACUGAGGCGUCGUCUCCUGAAGGAUGUGACUACGUCGUGUGUUUCUGUCCUGUGGCUUCACGAGUUGGAACAGACGUCAGUGAGGCUCUAGACAGAAUCCCUGCUGAUAAACCAUCCAUUCUGGUGGUGAUGCAUCACACCUUCAACCAUGACCACGUUGUAGCUGAAAGCAGGAGACUGGUGACCAAGUCCAACGUCCACCUCACGCUGGACUGUUUGUUCAAUGGGCGUCACUUCCUGGAUUGUAAACGUAACGAUGCUGCGUGGGAUGAAGUCAAGAAGAAACUCGGAGUUUAUGAUAAUGAGGUAAUUACUGGAUUUAACUGUAACCAAACUUAACAUGCAUUUUAGUGAUGGAUCAACAUGAUGAUACAGGUCAUCUGAUAGAAAUGAUACCUUUCAUUGCUUUUUCUAUACUGCAGGAACUUUCCUUAAGUUGGAGUCUCUUGAAUUGGAGUAAGUGUGACGUUAAAUAAGUUAACUUAAAUUUUAACUUUCAUGUUGUUUAAUAUGCUUCAUUAUUCUUAAUGGUUGUGUUGUUACAAUCUACAGUUGGCUUCAGGCUUCUACUGGCUUUAGUUUUGGAAGCCAGCUGCUGCAAAUCAACAACUGGUAAGAAGGUUUAGUUUGUAUAAACUGGUAUUUUGCUUUGUGAAUACUACGUCUUAUAAAGCUUUUAUAGAAACUCUGUUAACCUUAUGUGUUUAGUAAUUGGUUCCUAUAAAUAGUAAUAUUAUAUUAUAUUAUAUUAUAUUAUAUUAUAUUAUAUUAUAUUAUAUUAUAUUAUAUUAUAUUAUAUUAUAUUAUAUUAUAGAUAUAUAUAUAUUAUAUUAUAUUAUAUUAUGAAUUUACAAAGUUGUUUCCUGUGGGUCUCUGUUGUAGCCAUUCAUAAAAACCAGAAAGAACAGAUAUUCCCAGUUGGAUCACAGAAGGACAGGCAGGGUCGCAGACAGAGAAGAGAGGUUUGAUGAUCUGAGUGAGGUUGUUAAUGAGAGAGUAGACAAGAGAAGAAAAGAGCUACUGAAUAACAACACAACAAACGUGACACGUUUUAAUACUUCUGUGAUGAUGAGGUAGUGAGUUGAGGUAGAUGAAAGAGAAACAGUAAACUCUGUGAGGAGAAGUGAUGAUGGAGAAAAACUACUGUGUAAAAAAGUGUGUGUGUGUGCGUGUGUGUGUGCCUGUGUGUGCGUGCGUGUGUGUCUGCGUGUGUGCGCGCACGUGUGUGUGCUUGUGUGCGUGUGUGUUUGUGUAUGUCUCAGUUCAGUCCUGGCAUCAUUUGAGAUUGAUCUGAGUGAUUUAUGUGUGUGAGUGUGUUUUUCAGUCCGGUCCCUUUAUGUUGAGGAGACUUAUGACCUACUGUAUGGAAGGAAGCUGUCACACAGUCUGGAUGUGAGUGCCAGAAUGCUUUGGUACCUUUUUCCAGACGGCACAAGGGUGAAGUGUGUGUGUCUGGUCAGCCACGAUGCUGUAAAGGGGAGAGACUCUGUGUUGUGGUGGUGGAGUCUUUGCAUGAACACCUUUCACCUCAUGUCCCGGGACAGUUUGGCCCUGGUUGAUCCUGCCACUUUCACUCUGAAGGUGAAGAGAGGGUUCAGGACAUCUGUUUAUUUUUUUCUUUCCUUCAUCUAGUUUGUGUUGUUGAGUGUUAAAAUUAUGUUUUUUGUUUUUUCUUUCUGUGCCAGCAUCCAAGUCUGCUACAGAUCAGGCUCCAGUGUUAAAGUCUGCUACAGAUCAGGAUCAAGCUUCCGAAUCUGUUCCACAUCAGGAUCAAGCUUCAGAAUCUGUUCCACAUCAGGAUCAAGCUUCAGAAUCUGUUACACAUCAGGAUCAAGCUUCAGAAUCUGUUCCACAUCAGGAUCAAGCUUCCAAGUGACUUCACUUUGUCAUUGUCAAAUCAAAGUUCUGUUAAACGGCUUCUAUCUAAAAUGGAUAAAAUUAAGUAAUUUUAUUAGCUCAUUUUUGUUUUUUGUCUUUUUUCUAAAACUUUUUUCUCCAGUAAUUUAAGUAACCAGUGUGGAGGUUGCAGUGUUAAAGUGCAGGUGUUCCUAUUGAUUAUUCUAUAUAUAACACAGUGUUUUAGUGUUUUAGCUAAAUACAUUUUGCGAUAAAGACAAGUUUGCAUUAACAUUUUGUUGUAGAAGUUCCCACUAGGCUCAAUGAGUCUGCUGGUUUCAUCUGAACAUAGAUCUUGAAGUUUAGUAGUUUAGUUACAGCAUUUUCAAACAAAAACCAAGAAUAAAUCAAUGACUAAUAACUCUGGUACA
Molecule: long non-coding RNA, 2675 nt
Organism: Betta splendens (Siamese fighting fish)
Lineage: Eukaryota; Metazoa; Chordata; Actinopteri; Anabantiformes; Osphronemidae
Source: Ensembl